Molecule: transfer RNA, 69 nt
Filed under: Menida lata
Lineage: Eukaryota; Metazoa; Arthropoda; Insecta; Hemiptera; Pentatomidae
Description: tRNA-Val
Source: RNAcentral
CAAGUUAUAAUCAUAGGAUUAAUUCUUAUUUACAUUAAGAAUUUAUUUGUGCAAUUCAAAUUAUCUUGA